GUGCUCACCUUGGCAGCACAUAUAUUAAAACUGGAAAGAUACAAAGAAGAUUAGCAUGGCUCCUGCAGAUGGAUGACAUGCAAAUUAGUGAAGCAUUUCAUAUUUCU
Callithrix jacchus (white-tufted-ear marmoset) is the source of this 107-nucleotide small nuclear RNA. Lineage: Eukaryota; Metazoa; Chordata; Mammalia; Primates; Cebidae. The record is from Ensembl.